CCACGGGGAGCAGGCCAAGCUCCCGGAUAACCCCGGCAGCGCCGCGGAGCUGCGCGCCGGCGCCGCAGGCGGGCACCGCGUCGAACUGCGACGCCGGGAGCGCCUCGGAGACGAAGCCGACCUGGAACUCGACGGUGCCCUGGUCCGGGUGCGCGACGAUCCCGGUGACGGAGACCCAGAGGAAGAGCUUCUUGGCCUGGAUGCCGGAGAGGUCGGAGAUGGCGCCGUACGAGAGGCGGCCGCGGACGCUCCUCUCGUAGUAGACGAGGUGGGAGCCGAACCAGACGUAGCAGGUCCCCGCCAGGUGGAUCUCGAACUCCCCCGUGGCCUCGUCGAAGCUGUAGGAGGCUACGGAGUCCGGGAUGAGGCCCCUGGGGAGGCCGUACUUCGGGAGGAGGUCGUUCGCCGCGCCGUUCGGCUGGACGCCGCCGCCGGCCGCGGAGGCGGCGCCGGCGACGACGAUGGCGGCGGCGGCGGCGGCGAGGAGGAGAGCUUGAGGAGACAUGGCGGUUGGGGAGUUUGGGAUUUUUUUUUUUUUUGGUGAUCAAUUUUCCGCGCUGUGUAUGGGACUAGGGCUAUGGGUUAGUUAUACUAGUAGCAUUUAAAUUGGGUUUUUCGGCCGGCUUGACUUUUGACUUAUGAAUUGAGAGAUGAGAGAGAGUUCUCAUUGCUUGAGAAAGAGUUUAUGGAUGGUGAUUUGUCAAGUGAACAUAAAAAAACAUGCUCACCCAGCUAACUUUAUUUUUUUUCUUAUGGAAAAGAGAAAGGGUGAGGUAAGACAGUAUCUUAAAAAUCUGAUUAUGUUUAAAAGAUCUCAAACUAUUGCCACCACCAUAUUUGUUAUCGAAGCAAAUCGACACACAAUCCAAUAUGAAAUUUCCUCGUUUUAGUCCUUCUCUUUUCCUUUAGAGUGUAUUUUUUAUAACAAUUAUUACUAGUAUAUUACGAGAGAUAUGUAGCUACAAGCAACACUGUGAUAUGAGUAGACCAAACAUUCACAUGUUUAAGAGUCCAUUUAUAAUAAAUGCACUAUUUUUAGUUUUGUAAAUAUAGAGUGUCACUUCCUUAGCAAUAAGUUUUUCUGCGUGCAACUUGACUGCUUCAUUGAGCGAACUUAUGCUUGGCACUAGCGCUCAAUGAAAACAGUCGGAAGUGAUCGGAAAACAACCUCAACUAUUUUUAUAACCAUAUUUUUCUCGGAAACGAAAUCGAAAACGGUAAAGUUGGAAACGAAAUCAAUAUCGAAAAUAUAAGAAUAUUGGAAACGAAAUAAUACGAACGGAAACAUGUCGGUAUAGAUUGGAAACCGGUAACAAAGACGGAAAUAUUAAACUAUAAAAACAUAUAUUUAAUUUUGCAUAAGUAUGUAAUACAUAUAAAUAAAUUCAAGCUUAUACUAUAUAAAUUAUAAAUUAACUUCAUUUUAGCCAUGUACUCAAGUUAGGGAUUUGAUUUAAGAGUUAAUCAAUCUCUAAACCGUGGGUCAAGUAGAGACAUACCCAAUAAAUAUCGACAUAUUUAGAAAUACGGUAAUUACCAUAUUAUAAGAAACAGUAAUUUCCACAAGAAUACGGUAAAUACGAAAACGAUUGGUAUAAUAGCAAAACUAUUUCCGUUUCCAUUUCCAUAUUUUUUACCAUUUCUAUUUUCAUUUCGGUCGAUUACCAUUUCCAUAUGGCUCGAAAACGAACGCAGGUUGGCCGGUAAUUUCCGCUACUGUUUUCACCCCUACCCCUAUCACAUCUACUAUAUUAGCUCAUGCUCACUCACUCUUUACCUCAGACGUGAAUACUUUGACGUAAUCUCAAGUGUGACUUUGUGUCACUGAUAUGUGGAUCCGACGUACCUUAGAGAAAUAGAACCUAUGUCUAAACGUUGGGCACAGGAAGUGUUUGUUUUCAUUUUAGCUCUUUUACACCAUUUGCAUGUACCCUUCCAAAAACUCAUCUUAGCAAAAGAGGUGUUUAUUUUACAAAUACACUAUAACGGAAGCAUAGAAUUCAGCCAAAACUUCUAAACCGUACAUCUAUAGCUUUAACCCGUUUACUUUACACGACUUAUCCUUAAUCAGGUUGGCUUUGAAUUUAUAUAGCCUCGGCGAUGGAACCACUACCCGACAACCCCGCAUAACAGCCCUAGCUUAUCGGUGAAUCGCAAUAGAAUUAUGAUGAUAUCAAAGGGAAUAAAAAUAAAAGUUUCAGUGUAGUUAAAUUUACUCGAAUCUAAAUUAUGUGCAGUUCGAUCAUCAUAAUUUUUUUCAAAACAAAAAACAUGGGACCCGCCUAUCAUCCACUCUGCCUCCCUUUGCCAUCCUUCUUUCUUAUUUCUAUCGACCUACCAAUUCGAUAGAAAAAACGUAAUUUCUCCGUCUCUCUCUCUCUUAAAAGGUUCAAUCCAAAUUAUGAAUUUUGAUAAUUUAGACAUACAUAUAUCCAGAUUAAUAGUUAGUAUUAAACUUUUCACGGGACGGAGGAUGUAGAUAUUCAGAUCUCUAACAUCAAAUGAUAUAAUAGUACUUGGUUCAUUAAAUGGAGUACCAGUACAGAACGAAAAUUUUGAUGGAUUUUAUUGCCGGAAAUGAGGACCUCGCUUGGAAAAUAAAUGAUUGACAUGGGCAACCAAGCAUGGGCACACACAUGCGUAUGUCACCAUGUGAAAAGUGAAAGCCAUGGAGCAACUCAUACACACAAGCUAAUAAGCUAUACCUCGGCGACGGUGGGGAGCUGCAGGCCGAGCUGGCGUGCGAGCCCGGCGGCGCCGCGGAGCCGCGCGCCGGCGCCGCAGACGGGGACCUCGGCGAAGUCCGACUCCGGCAGCGCCUCGGAGAUGAACCCCGCCCGGAACUCGACGGUGCCCUGGUCGGGGUGGGCGACGAUGGUGGUGAUGGAGACCCAGACGAAGAACUUCUGCGCCUGGAUCCCGGAGAGCCCCGUGAUGGUGCCGUACGCGAUCCGGCCGCGGAUGGCGUCCUCGAAGUAGGCGAGGUGGGAGCCGAACCAGAUGUAGCAGGUGCUCGUCAGCCGGAUCUCGAAGUCCCCCGUGUCGUUGUCGAAGGUGUAGGACGCGAUCGUCUCCGGGAUCAGCCCCCGCGGGAGGCCGUACUCCGGGAGGAGGUCGUUCGCUAUGCCGUGGAGCGGCGCGGCCGAGGCGGUGGCGGAGGUGGCGCAGGUGGCGCCGACGGCGGCGGCGAGGAGGAGGAUGGUGGUGAGAGGAGACAUGGCCAUGGCUUUUUUGGGGGGUUUGGGUUUCUGUGGGUUGUGUCACCUUUUCUAUCUCCUAUGUGUGUUGGCG
RNAcentral lists this long non-coding RNA (3291 nucleotides) under Oryza sativa (Asian cultivated rice). RNAcentral's name for it is "long non-coding RNA (OSAT_LNC000620)". The record is from RNAcentral. Lineage: Eukaryota; Viridiplantae; Streptophyta; Magnoliopsida; Poales; Poaceae.